Non-coding RNA from Pelobates cultripes (western spadefoot toad), 332 nucleotides. Lineage: Eukaryota; Metazoa; Chordata; Amphibia; Anura; Pelobatidae. The record is from the annotation of a GenBank genome assembly.
AGCAGGGUUAACUCCAGCAGUUAAACAAUGGACAUGGCAUCUUGGCACUUUGGUAUAUCAGCUGCUGGGUCCAGGAAUACAAAUAUAACAUCAUUUAAAAAAAUAAUGUCCAUCAGUUGCAGUCAGAUAAAUAGUGUUUUGGAAGAUUUAUAGCCAGCUUUGUUUUGUAUCCAUCUGUACAAAUGGUAAUACAUUUCUAUAUAUACACUGGCAUACACACAUACACUGGCAUACACACACACUGGCAUACAUACACUGACAUACACACAUACACUGGCAUACAUACACUGGCAUACACACACACACUGGCAUACAUACACUGGCAUACACAC